This 263-nucleotide ribosomal RNA is filed under the name uncultured bacterium. RNAcentral describes it as "partial 16S ribosomal RNA". It matches the Rfam family "Bacterial small subunit ribosomal RNA", at positions 338 to 593 of the family's 1533-position model. The record is from RNAcentral.
CCUACGGGGCGCAGCAGUAGGGAAUUUUCGUCAAUGGGCGCAAGCCUGAACGAGCAAUGCCGCGUGAACGAGGUAGGUCUUCGGAUCGUAAAGUUCUGUUGAAGGGGAAAAAGAGCGGAGAGAGGAAAUGGUCUCCGAUUGAUAUUACCCUUCGAGGAAGUCACGGCUAACUACGUGCCAGCAGCCGCGGUAAUACGUAGGUGGCAAGCGUUGUCCGGAUGUAUUGGGCGUAAAGCGAGUGCAGGCGGUUCAAUUAGUUGUGU